RNAcentral lists this ribosomal RNA (1776 nucleotides) under human gut metagenome. Its description in RNAcentral is "bacterial LSU rRNA". It matches the Rfam family "Bacterial large subunit ribosomal RNA", at positions 755 to 2524 of the family's 2925-position model. The record is from RNAcentral.
CUCGUCGGCAGCGUCAGAUGUGUAUAAGAGACAGGUGCAAUGGUGGCGGAUGACCUGUGGAUAGCGGAGAAAUUCUAAUCGAACUUGGAGAUAGCUGGUUCUCCCCGAAAUAGCUUUAGGGCUAGCGUUGAUUUAGAUUACCGGAGGUAAAGCACUGAAUGGGCUAGGGGCUGAUAAAGUUACUGAACCCUAUCAAACUAAGAAUGCCGGCAAAUUGAUGAUCAGCAGUCAGACUACGUGAGAUAAGUCUCGUGGUCAAAAGGGAAACAGCCCAGACCCACAGCUAAGGUCCCAAAUAUACGCUAAGUGGAAAACGAUGUGGAAUUGCGAAAACAACCAGGAUGUUGGCUUAGAAGCAGCCACUCAUUAAAAGAGUGCGUAAUAGCUCACUGGUCGAGUGGUUCUGCGCGGAAAAUGUAACGGGGCUAAGCAUGGUACCGAAGCUUUGGCAAUCUCCUUUGGAGAUUGGGUAGGGGAGCGUUCGCUGCGGGCUGAAGGUGUGUCGGAAGGCAUGCUGGACUGCAGUGAAGUGAUUAUGCUGACAUGAGUAACGAUAAAAUAUGUGAAAAACAUAUUCGCCGAAAACCCGAGGUUUCCUGGGUAAAGGUAAUCUUCCCAGGGUUAGUCGGAUCCUAAGGUGAGGGUGAAAGCCGUAACCGAUGGAAAACAGGUUAAUAUUCCUGUACUUGUUGUGUAGCGCGAUGGAGGGACGCAGGAAGAUAGGCGGGCCGGGUGUUGGAUAUCCCGGUGCAAGCGUGUAGGAAUAUCCGGUAGGCAAAUCCGCCGGACGAAUCUGAGACGCGAGUCCGUGGGCGCAAGCCCUGAAGCCGUUGAGUCUAUGCUGCCUAGAAAAGCUCCUAAGUUUAUCCACAGCAAUCCGUACCGCAAACCAACUCAGGUGGGUGGGAUGAACAAUCCAAGGCGCUCGAGAGAACUCUGGCCAAGGAACUCGGCAAAAUAACCCCGUAACUUCGGAAGAAGGGGUGCUCUCUAGGGUGACAUGUUUAACAUAUGAAGCCCCGGGGAGCCGCAGUGAAUUGGUGGUGGCGACUGUUUACUAAAAACAUAGGUCUGUGCGAAGUCCUAAAGACGACGUAUACGGACUGACGCCUGCCCGGUGCUGGAAGGUUAAAAGGAGGGGUCAGCGCAAGCAAAGCUCCGAAUUGAAGCCCCAGUAAACGGCGGCCGUAACUAUAACGGUCCUAAGGUAGCGAAAUUCCUUGUCGGGUAAGUUCCGACCUGCACGAAUGGCGUAAUGAUGGCCAGGCUGUCUCCACCCGAGACUCAGUGAAAUUGAACUCGCUGUGAAGAUGCAGUGUACCCGCGGCAAGACGGAAAGACCCCGUGAACCUUUACUAUAGCUUGACACUGAACAUUGAGCCUUGAUGUGUAGGAUAGGUGGGAGGCUUUGAAGUGUGGACGCCAGUCUGCAUGGAGCCGACCUUGAAAUACCACCCUUUAAUGUUUGAUGUUCUAACGUUGGCCCCUGAUCGGGGUUGCGGACAGUGUCUGGUGGGUAGUUUGACUGGGGCGGUCUCCUCCUAAAGAGUAACGGAGGAGCACGAAGGUUGGCUAAUCCUGGUCGGACAUCAGGAGGUUAGUGCAAUGGCAUAAGCCAGCUUGACUGCGAGCGUGACGGCGCGAGCAGGUGCGAAAGCAGGUCAUAGUGAUCCGGUGGUUCUGAAUGGAAGGGCCAUCGCUCAACGGAUAAAAGGUACUCCGGGGAUAACAGGCUGAUACCGCCCAAGAGUUCAUAUCGACGGCGGUGUUUGGCAC